CACGGGUGAGUAACACGUAUCCAGCCUGCCGUCUACUCUUGGACAGCCUUCUGAAGGAAGAUUAAUACAAGAUGGCAUCAUGAGUCCGCAUGUUCACAUGAUUAAAGGUAUUCCGGUAGACGAUGGGGAUGCGUUCCAUUAGAUAGUAGGCGGGGUAACGGCCCACCUAGUCUUCGAUGGAUAGGGGUUCUGAGAGGAAGGUCCCCCACAUUGGAACUGAGACACGGUCCAA
Molecule: ribosomal RNA, 232 nt
Filed under: uncultured bacterium
Lineage: Bacteria
Description: partial 16S ribosomal RNA
Rfam family: Bacterial small subunit ribosomal RNA
Source: RNAcentral